GACGAACGCUGGCGGCGUGCUUAACACAUGCAAGUCGAACGAUGAAGCCGGAGCUUGCUCUGGUGAAUUAGUGGCGAACGGGUGAGUAACACGUGAGUAACCUGCCCUUGACUCUGGGAUAACUGCGGGAAACUGUAGCUAAUACCGGAUACGACCCUCGGAGGCAUCUCCUGGGGGUGGAAAGAAUUUCGGUCAAGGAUGGACUCGCGGCCUAUCAGCUAGUGGUGAGGUAAAGGCUGACCAAGGCGACGACGGGUAGCCGGCCUGAGAGGGUGACCGGCCACGCUGGGACUGAGACACGGCCCAGACUCCUACGGGAGGCAGCAGUGGGGAAUAUUGCACAAUGGGCGCAAGCCUGAUGCAGCAACGCCGCGUGAGGGAUGACGGCCUUCGGGUUGUAAACCUCUUUUAGCAGGGAAGAAGCGAAAGUGACGGUACCUGCAGAAAAAGCACCGGCUAACUACGUGCCAGCCGCCGCGGUAC
RNAcentral lists this ribosomal RNA (483 nucleotides) under uncultured bacterium. RNAcentral's name for it is "partial 16S ribosomal RNA". It matches the Rfam family "Bacterial small subunit ribosomal RNA", at positions 28 to 523 of the family's 1533-position model. The record is from RNAcentral.